Molecule: ribosomal RNA, 441 nt
Filed under: uncultured bacterium
Lineage: Bacteria
Description: partial 16S ribosomal RNA
Rfam family: Bacterial small subunit ribosomal RNA
Source: RNAcentral
CUACGGGUGGCUGCAGUGGGGAAUAUUGGGCAAUGGGCGCAAGCCUGACCCAGCAACGCCGCGUGAGGGAAGAAUGUCUUCGGAUUGUAAACCUCUGUCCCAUGGGACGAACAAAUGACGGUACCAUGGGAGGAAGCUCCGGCUAACUACGUGCCAGCAGCCGCGGUAAUACGUAGGGAGCGAGCGUUGUCCGGAAUUACUGGGCGUAAAGGGUGCGUAGGCGGCAUAAUAAGUCAGAUGUGAAAUACCCGGGCUCAACUCGGGGGGUGCAUUUGAAACUAUUAAGCUUGAGUACAGGAGAGGAAAGCGGAAUUCCUAGUGUAGCGGUGAAAUGCGUAGAUAUUAGGAGGAACACCAGUGGCGAAGGCGGCUUUCUGGACUGUCACUGACGCUGAGGCACGAAAGCGUGGGGAGCAAACAGGAUUAGAUACCCGGGUAGUC